UAAGUCUGGCUAAGGGUUUAUCAAUUUUGUUGAUCUUUUCAAUGAACCAGCUUUUAGCUUCAUUGAUCUUUUCUAUGGUUUUCUUCAUUUCUAUAUCAUUUAUUUCUGCUUUGAUCUUUAUGCUUUCUUUCCUUCUGCUAACUUUAGGUUUUAUUUGUUCUUCUUUCUCUAGUUGCUUCAGAAGUAAAUUUAGGUUGUUUGAGAUUUUUCUUGUUUCCUGAGGUAGGCUUGUAUUGCUGUAAAAUUCCCUCUUAGAACUGCUUUUGGUGCAUUCCAUAGGUUUUGGAUUAUUGUGACUUUGUUGUCAUUUGCUUCUGAGUAUUUUUUAAUUUCCUCUUUGAUUUCUCAGUGAUCCAUUGAUUAGUAGAUGUUAUUUAGUCUCCAUGUGUUUGUGGGUUUUUUGCAAUUUUUUUUCUUGUUGAUUUUUUGUAUUAUAGCCUUGUGGUUAGAAGAGAUGCUUGACAUGAUUUUAAUUUUCUUAAAUUUACUGAGGCUUGAUUUGUGGCCCAGAAUGUGAUCUAUCCUAGAGAAUGUUUCAUAUGCAGUUAAGAAAAAUGUGUGUUCUAAUGCUUUUGAAUGGAAUAUUCUAUAAAUGUCUAUUAAUUCUAUCUGGUCUAAUGCAUCAUUUAAGGCCUGUGUUUCCUUAUUGAUUUUCUGUGUGGAUGAUCUGUCCAUUGCUAUAAGUGGAAUGUUAAAGUCCCCUGCUAUUAUUGUCUAUUAUUGAUUUCUCCUUUUAAGGCUGUUAGCAGUUGCCUUGUAUAUUGAAGUGAUCCUAUGUUGGAUGCAUAUAUAUUUACAAUUUUAAUAUCUUAUUGGAUUGAUCUUUUGAUCAUUGUGUAAUACCCUUCUUUGUAUUAAGACAUUCUUUUUUUUAAGGUCUAUUUUUUUUUUCUGAUAGGAGCAUUGCUACUCCAGCUUCCUUUUGAUUUUGUUUGCAUGGAUUACUUUCUUCCAUCCUCUCACUUUCAAUUUGUAUGUGUCCCUAGAACUGAAAUGGGUCUCUCAGUGACAGAAUAUAUAUGGGUCUUGUGUUUGUAUCCAUUCAGCCAGUCUAUGUCUUUUGAUUGGGGAAUUUAGUCCAUUUACAUUUAAGGUAAUUAUUAAUAUGUAUGUUCUUAUUGCCAUUUUAGUAAUUGUUUUGGAUUUGUCUUUUUUCUUCCCUUCUUCUCUUGUUGUCUUCUCUUAUGGUUUGAUGACCAUCAUUAAUGUUGUGUUUGGAUUGCUUUUUCUUAUUUGUGUGUGUAUCUAUUGUAGAUUUUUGGUUCACAGUUACCAUGAAGUUUUGAUACAGGAGUCUAUAUGUAUACAAAAUUGUUUUAAGUUGUUGUCCUCUUAAUUGCAAUUGCAUCUCCAGUAUCCUGCAUUUGUACUCUCCUCCUCAUGAUUUCUGGUUUUGGUAGCAUAUUUAUGUGUGGAUGAUUUCCUACCUUUACUAUAUGUAUGCCUUUACUGGUGAGCCUUGUCAUUUGUAAUAUUUUUGUUUCUGGUUGUGGCCCUUUUUUUUUUUUUUUCCACCUAGAGAAAUUCCUUUAGUAUUUCUUGUAAAACUGGUUUAGUGGUGCUGAAUUCUCUUAGCUUUUGUUUAUCUGUGAAGCUUUUGAUUUCUCCUUCAAAUCUGAAUGAGAGCCUUGCUGGGUAAAGUAAUCUUGUUUGGAGGUUUUUUCCCUUUCAUCACAUGAAGUAUAUCAUGCCACUUCCUUCUGGCCUGCAGACGAGUGAUUCCUUUCCCAUGUUGUGGAAGUUUUUGGCUAUUAUCUCUUCAAAUAUUUUCUCUGGUCCUUUCUCUUUUUCUUCUCCUUCUGGCAC
This 1806-nucleotide long non-coding RNA is filed under the name Sus scrofa (pig). RNAcentral describes it as "lncRNA (ENSSSCG00000058904.1)". Lineage: Eukaryota; Metazoa; Chordata; Mammalia; Artiodactyla; Suidae. The record is from RNAcentral.